Molecule: ribosomal RNA, 305 nt
Filed under: uncultured bacterium
Lineage: Bacteria
Description: bacterial SSU rRNA
Rfam family: Bacterial small subunit ribosomal RNA
Source: RNAcentral
CCUACGGGGGGCAGCAGUGAGGAAUAUUGGUCAAUGGGCUUACGCCUGAACCAGCCAAGUCGCGUGAGGGAAGACUGCCCUAUGGGUUGUAAACCUCUUUUGUCAGGGAGCAACGCCGGCUACGUGUAGCCGGACUGAGAGUACCCGAAGAAAAAGCAUCGGCUAACUCCGUGCCAGCAGCCGCGGUAAUACGGAGGAUCCGAGCGUUAUCCGGAUUCAUUGGGUUUAAAGGGUGCGUAGGUUGUUUUAUAAGUUAGCGGUGAAAUACCGAUGCUCAACAUCGGGGCUGCCGCUAAUACUGUAGG